RNA transcript from Triticum aestivum (bread wheat), 2840 nucleotides. RefSeq lists it as uncharacterized. The record is from RefSeq and is a predicted model, not a curated record. The transcript is spliced from 2 exons. NCBI's taxonomy places the organism in Eukaryota, Viridiplantae, Streptophyta, Magnoliopsida, Poales, Poaceae.
CGCUAUAUAUAGGUGGCUCUCCCCGUUCGUUUUCUUUGCCUCACGGGCUGCGGUUUCUAUUUUAUGCCUAUUGAUGGUUCGUCCUGCCUCUGCCCGGAGCCGGAGCGACUUGCCUCGCCCAGGCAGCCAUCCUGAUCCUGGGAUUCGAGGAGCCGUCAUUAAUCGGGCGUGUAAUGGUCGGAGCAGCGCUGCUGCUCGAGGUCGUCGUGCGUUAAUGAGAGAGGAUGCCGUUGGUGGCCAACGGUCCGAUGUUCGUUCAUUGCGUCGGGUCGCCAUGCGGUUCGUCGUCCUAUCAGCCAUGCGGUCAAUGACGGCCACAACCUCGGCGCCCCGGGCUACAAUGAAAGCGGCUGUGGCGGGGAUGGGACGGACGAUGCUCCUGCUGCGUGCGGAGCUCGCGUGGAGGCGGCUCAUGCAUCUGGUGCGCCUGCAGGAGGCAGCGGUAUUGAACUCUUGAUGGCGCGCAUGGGCAUGGCAUAUGUCGUGAGGCGAAGCAGCCCGUGGGCGCGAGGUCGCCCGCUCGAUGGUGCCGUCGUGCGGGUUUCCGGGGAUCCGUCUUGGGUGCUGGAGCUAUCACGCAGCCGCCACUCCAGUCACUGCCUCCGGCCGCUUGCAAGUCCUGCGGAGACAACUGUUCUCUAGGCCCGUUUACCUGUGGGAGCCGCGCCGGUGCUUGGAGAGAGAAGGUUGCGGCGGUAUGGCGCUCAUGAUGCAUGCCACGGUCCGCGGUCUACCUCGGUCAAGGUUAAGCUCGAGGGCGGGAGCUGGCGGUGCGCUGGGGAACCGCCGGAACGAGAUUAGUUUGGCAAGAUCCGGAUGGGAGGAAUCUCCGCUGCUUCCCGGGGUCGUCGUCGUGGUCGUGCCGCCGUGCUCCACAGUCUGGAGCAUUUUACAGUGCAUCCGGACGAUAUGGACCGUCCGUCGGAGCGAAUUCGACGGUCCAGAUCCGAUGUAAUACGCUGAUGUCACGUGUAUUAUAUCAGACCCCGAGGGGCAUUUUCGGAAGAAAAAAUAUUUCGAACUGAUCUGAUUUUUCCUCCCAAAUAUUUCGAGGGUAUUCUCGGUAUGAAUUGUAGGGCUAUUUUCAGUUCGAUAUUUAUCCCGUUCGCUAGGGUUUAUUCCUCGCCGCCGCUACGGUUUUAAUCCUCGCCGACAGGAUCUAGCCGCUCGUCGCGGCCCCUUCCUCCCUCGUCACCGGCAGGAUCUAGCCGCGCGUCGCGGCCCCUCCCUUCCUCCACCCCAAUUCCCUCGCGGUCUCGCACCACCUUUUCAACGAACACGAGAGGAGGCCCACUUCCCUCCCCGCGGCGGCCGCCGGCGAAGAGUCGGCGCCAUCCCACCUCCCAGUCCUCCAUGCGGGUGCCUAUAGCCACAAGGUUAUAGGCAACCUCUUUCCCACACCCCAAUUGGUUGUUUGCGUCCUCUACACAUUAUUUCUCAGCCAUGGCUGCAGCUUUGAUCUGGCCAUGCAUCUCGUCCGAUGGCAAGGUGGUUGGGUAUGGAUCAUGUUCUGCGGGACAAGAUGAAGCCGGCCGCCGGCCUCGACGGCCAGCCCCAUUCGUCCAGCCCCGACUGUUUAAUCUACGGACGUUCAAUCGUUGCAUUCAACAUGUAUUCUUUCAAUUUGGCUGAUAGGUGAGAUUUGGAGAUCAAUAGAGAUGAUAAGCUAUUAAUUUUGGAAUGUACUAUAAACAAUUCAUAGCUUAUGUUGCUCAAUAUUUAUGAUGCUCGCUUCUUCUUGUGCAAUUGCUGGACUGGGAUCAACAGACUUGGCAUGUGCUUUAUAUGAAAAAUUAGAUUCACAUGGGAUAUCCACCUUUUCAAGAUUGUUGUUAAGUCUUAUUAUGAUGUUUUAGCCUUGUUAAAGGGAGAGUAAUGGUCCUCGCAAAAAGCAGAGAGAAAGGAAUGAGCAUUCGAUUCUUUCAUAUGUUGCAUUUCAUUCUUCCGUGUUUAGUUAUGUCCAACAUUUGUUACAUGCACACACUUGACAAGGUUAGUACAAGUAGUAAUUUUUUCUCUGUUUUGCAGGGCUAUGACAGAACAUGCUAUGUGAUUCCCUGAGGCAGGAUGGAUGUACCAUGGCCACACCACUGUGCUCCUGAAGGUGAACGCUUCAAUUCAGUGUUGCAGCACCUGCAGAGGCCCCCUAUGGUACGUGCUUUUACUCUUGUUAUCCUAUGCUCUAUUUUUUGGCUUUGCGGCCUGCCUACGAGACAUAGCUGGGAUUGCGUGUUGAAUCAGGCAGUAUUUUUGACUUCUGUUGUGAGGCUAUGCUCAUGCUUUAAUAAAUUUUUCUCUCGUAUGAAAAUAGACAUAUCAUAAUCCAUUAUUCUUCUAGGGUUGCCCCAGGCACCAUUAGUGUUACAUGGUAGUAAAAAGCAAAUAUAGAUUUCUACGAGAUCCCGUAGAGACCAAAUUUAUUUCAAGCAAAAUAUAGUAACCAAUAUUAUUGAAGUUUUACAACUUGACUCAUGUGCAAUGGACUAAGAAACGGCUAGGAAACCUUCUUCGGGACUAAAACCCAACCACACCCUACUCUAUCGCUUUAUGGCCAAGUGUACACUCCACAUGUAAGAAUGAACCACAAUGCUAGAUUAACUGCUUGCAUCCUCGUCGUCUUCAACCGCAGCUGCAUCCGAUUGCCUAGCAUGGUACUGCUUGAACCUACUCCUGUAUUUCAUUUUUUUGUAGGGUGAAUCGACAAGCACAACAUGUAGCUCUCUUCUAAAUUUGUCGAUGUAGGCCUGCAUGCGAGGAUAUGUUAGUAUCGUUCCAUAUGUUUCAGAAAAUGACAGAAUUUUAGGUGUUACUCUACGUACUUCGUCAUAUUGCAACCUCAG